GACGGUACUUGAUGAAUCAGCAUCGGCUAACUCCGUGCCAGCAGCCGCGGUAAUACGGAGGAUGCAAGCGUUAUCCGGAAUCAUUGGGCGUAAAGAGUCCGUAGGUGGUCAAUCAAGUCGGCUGUCAAAGCCUGGAGCUUAACUCCAUCAAGGCAGUGGAAACUGGUUAACUUGAGUCUAGGAGGGGUAGAGGGAAUUCCCAGUGUAGCGGUGAAAUGCGUAGGGAUUGGGAAGAACACCGGUGGCGAAAGCGCUCUACUGGACUAGAACUGACACUGAGGGACGAAAGCUAGGGUAGCGAAAGGGAUUAGAUACCCCUGUAGUCCUAGCCGUAAACGAUGGAUACUAGGCGUAGCUCGUAUCGACCCGAGCUGUGCCGAAGCUAACGCGUUAAGUAUCCCGCCUGGGGAGUACGCACGCAAGUGUGAAACUCAAAGGAAUUGACGGGGGCCCGCACAAGCGGUGGAGUAUGUGGUUUAAUUCGAUGCAACGCGAAGAACCUUACCAAGGCUUGACAUCCGACGAAUCUUGAGGAAAGUUAAGAGUGCCUUCGGGAACGUCGUGACAGGUGGUGCAUGGCUGUCGUCAGCUCGUGUCGUGAGAUGUUGGGUUAAGUCCCGCAACGAGCGCAACCCUCGUCCUUAGUUGCCAUCAUUAAGUUGGGAACUCUAGGGAGACUGCCGGGGACAACUCGGAGGAAGGUGGGGAUGACGUCAAGUCAGCAUGCCCCUUACGUCUUGGGCUACACACGUACUACAAUGGUCGGGACAACGAGCAGCGAAGCCGCAAGGUGUAGCGAAUCUCAACAAACCCGGCCUCAGUUCAGAUUGAGGGCUGCAACUCGCCCUCAUGAAGGCGGAAUCGCUAGUAAUCGCAGGUCAGCAUACUGCGGUGAAUCCGUUCCCGGGCCUUGUACACACCGCCCGUCACACCAUGGGAGCUGGCCACGCCCGAAGUCGUUACUCCAACCCUUUUUGGGAGGAGGAUGC
Molecule: ribosomal RNA, 989 nt
Filed under: uncultured cyanobacterium
Lineage: Bacteria; Bacillati; Cyanobacteriota
Description: bacterial SSU rRNA
Rfam family: Bacterial small subunit ribosomal RNA
Source: RNAcentral